Long non-coding RNA from Equus caballus (horse), 1603 nucleotides. The record is from Ensembl. Lineage: Eukaryota; Metazoa; Chordata; Mammalia; Perissodactyla; Equidae.
GGUAUAAGAGAACACAAUCCUCAUCUUCCAUAUAGGAUCCAAAAACCUAAAACUGAAAGACCAAGAAAUAGCAGUGUAAUCCUGCUGCUUAGAAAUAAGGGCACAGGGGGAAACAGGAGAAGCAGAGAAGAGAGUUGAAAGCAGUUCAUUCCAGAAAGCAGGAAUUCAAAAAAGGGGGGAAAGGAUUGCAAUUUCGUCAUUGUGGACUUAGUGAUACUAUUGAAUUUAAAAAAAAAAAAAACUAUACCGAUGCAUUAGUGUGAUUUUUUUUUUUUAGGAAUAAAUAGUUCUUGAAAUAGGGUAGAUAGUGAUGCUGGAGCUUCCUCAAAACAGCCAGCCUUUCCAGAGACGUUCCCGGGGGCAGCUCUCCAACCUGCUCUUCCUUCACUUCAGCCCUCAUUACCUGACUCGGCCCCGACCGCCUGCUCCUGUCCACCUCCGUGUGGUAAGCUUCUCCACCUGGCCCUCGCAAUCAACCCCGUCCAUUCCCUGUCUCUCUUGACUUUCUCUUCUGCUUUAGCAUCCUAGACGUGAGCCAGGACCAGCUUGCAUCUAAAUCUGUCAGCCUCAGCCAAUUAGUCUGCUCCAGUCUGGUUCUCUUGCCUGCCCCAUGAGCCUUUCCUCAGGGUACAGGGUCAGGUGAUCUCGCUGGCUGCACGCCUACUGAAGAGACUGGAAGCAGGGCUGACGUGGGCAGGAGGCCAGAUGAGAGAAGCUGGAAGCUGGUUUGAGGAGCCACUGAUAGAGACGACAUGGAUGGAUUCCAGAGAUAAUCAGAAGGUAAAAGGAUGACCCGUCUCUCGAGCGCUGGACAGUUCCCAAAGCACUUUUGCAUCUAUGUCCUUCGAGAUUCGUCUUCCUCAACAGCCCAUGACAGAUGCUGAGUAGACAGAAUUCUCUCAGUAAAGGUGAUGAAACUGAGGAUAGGAGCGGUGAGGUCCAUUGCCCAAAUUCACACAGCUGACUGGGACAGGCUUGGAACUCACAUCCAGAUCCCCGGACGUCACAUCCAGGGCUCUUUCCAGUCUGGUGUCCAGGGACUCACCCUGCAGCUGACGGGGAGGCGGGCGUUAAGCUGAGGAGCCCUGACUCUGCUACCUGCCUGAGGCUAUUUGCACAGUUCCCAUUGAUUUGUCGUAACCUGUAAUUAUUUUUGCUGAAUUUUUUUCACGCUCCAUUUGCUCUUUACUCUGCAGCAGACAAGUGACAGGAAAAAGGGCCUGGAGCUGAGUGAGAGCAGGAGACCCUUUGGUCCUGGGAUGGAAGGGUAGGGGUUCCAGAUGCCGGUUUUCUGGCUUGUUGCCCCUCAUCUUCCGUUGGCCCUUUACGGGGCUCGCUUCCUCCCCACAGCAGGGAGGCAGACCUGGAGCCACGCCUCCUCCCAGGGCUCUCUGGGCUGCCUCUGGGCAGGGCCACCGGCCCCUCGCCCCUGCUGCUGCGGCAGAACCCUUCAAUUGACCUCUCAGAAGGGAAAAGAAACAGAGCAGACUAGAAGGAUGGAUUGUUAAUUUUCUAAAUUAACUCAGAGAGUUAAUAUUAACUCAGAGAAUUCACUUAGGCUCUGCGAUGCCGCCUCCUGAGUGGGCAGGGCAUUCUGUUCCCC